Molecule: ribosomal RNA, 601 nt
Filed under: uncultured Roseateles sp.
Lineage: Bacteria; Pseudomonadati; Pseudomonadota; Betaproteobacteria; Burkholderiales; Sphaerotilaceae
Description: bacterial SSU rRNA
Rfam family: Bacterial small subunit ribosomal RNA
Source: RNAcentral
GUCGAACGGUAACAGGUUAAGCUGACGAGUGGCGAACGGGUGAGUAAUGUAUCGGAACGUGCCCAGUCGUGGGGGAUAACUGCUCGAAAGAGCAGCUAAUACCGCAUACGACCUGAGGGUGAAAGCGGGGGAUCGCAAGACCUCGCGCGAUUGGAGCGGCCGAUACCAGAUUAGGUAGUUGGUGAGGUAAAGGCUCACCAAGCCGACGAUCUGUAGCUGGUCUGAGAGGACGACCAGCCACACUGGGACUGAGACACGGCCCAGACUCCUACGGGAGGCAGCAGUGGGGAAUUUUGGACAAUGGGCGCAAGCCUGAUCCAGCCAUGCCGCGUGCGGGAAGAAGGCCUUCGGGUUGUAAACCGCUUUUGUCAGGGAAGAAAAGGUUCUGGCUAAUACCUGGGACUCAUGACGGUACCUGAAGAAUAAGCACCGGCUAACUACGUGCCAGCAGCCGCGGUAAUACGUAGGGUGCAAGCGUUAAUCGGAAUUACUGGGCGUAAAGCGUGCGCAGGCGGUUAUGCAAGACAGAGGUGAAAUCCCCGGGCUCAACCUGGGAACUGCCUUUGUGACUGCAUGGCUAGAGUACGGUAGAGGGGGAUGG